CUUUAACCGCUGCUUUGAAAUUGAAUUUUCCGUUGCAAUUCGCUAUUUGGAUUUGAAGGCGGUUUUCAUCUAUUUAUUAUCUAAUUAUAGUGCUUUAUUGUGUGUGAAUGUUUUUGUAAACAAUAUAUUAUAAAAGCAAUCAUUUAGUGUUUACCAGUUUAAACGUGUAAUUGUUUUCUUCGUAUAGUUUGGUUUAUUUGAUAAUAUAAUGGUUUAUAAGUGCUCUGUUCCCGGGUGCAGUACUCGAGGCCGAGACAAAAAUCCUACUCAUUGGCAACCAAAGGGCAAAGUGGGAGUAUAUUGAGAGACUUUAUAAAGUGGAUGGUUUUGGUGGCAGAGCAAGAAGCACCAAACUUACUGAGAAGCACAUAAAUCCAACUUCAUAUGACAAAAUGAAGGUCAAAUUUGCAGCCCAAGUUUUUAGCGGCAAGUGGCUACAUCACUAGAAAUCCAGAUGAAGUCUCUGCUAUCUCUCAAGGAUCAUGAUUACAUAAGUUUAAAUAAAGACAUUGGAAAUGGUUUGUUCACAGCAGAAAUUCUUCUUUUAUAAAUAAUUUCUUUGAUAGUUUAAAUGGUCUUGGUCAUUAUGGGAAUAAGUUAAAACAUGCUCUUUCAUAUAAUUCGGAGCACAUUGGAAUGAUGCUGUGAAAAGCUAGCUUCAAUGCGCUUUGACGCUUCCAAUGAAAGGGAAAGGAAGCCUUUAUCACUGAAGCAUUUUGAACAUAAUAUAAAAACAAUAAAACAUUUGUGGUCAGAUCUGCUGAGAAUUGAUGGUGUUAAAUUUUUAAGUCUUAGACGUCUUAAUCAAGAUCCGAUAGAAAACUUUUUGGUCAAAUAAGGGCACAUGGUAAUUUUAGUACAAAUCCUAAUUGUACUCACUUUGUAUCGGCUUUUAAAACCUUGUUGAUUAACAACAUUACUACCGGUAAAUCUUUAUACACUAAUUGUUCUGAUGAUGAUGACAAAAUGUUGGGAACAUUAAACAUUUAGUCAGCCACCAAAAAUAUGGUUCAUACACUGAUAGUCUUCAAUGUAAUGAAACUAACUUUAUAGAAAUUUCUAUACCUAACGAGAAUAUAUUCCAACAUAU
Manduca sexta (tobacco hornworm) is the source of this 1090-nucleotide long non-coding RNA. RefSeq lists it as uncharacterized. The transcript has 3 exons. NCBI's taxonomy places the organism in Eukaryota, Metazoa, Arthropoda, Insecta, Lepidoptera, Sphingidae. The record is from RefSeq and is a predicted model, not a curated record.